AAUAAAUGCUUUGAUUACUCAGCAUUCAUUAGAUAAUACUAAACUGCCUAUGAAGCAAGAAAGUCAUUUGCAUUUCAGAUUUACCCCUUCUCCAAUUUUCAUUUCACAGUAAGAGGCCUUUUAAGAUGACUUAAUGUGACUUUUUUCCCUUUAAAUUCAAAAGCAAGUAUACACACCACAUUCAGUAAUGACUAACACUAACUUCAUUGCCCCCUCAAUUUCUUAAAAUCACAUGUGAUUCGUUUGGGUCAUGUUUAAAAGUCAUGCCAAUCUGCUCAAAAGACAAACUGUGGAUAAGCACAGUGUCAUACACCUUUAAUGCUAGGGACCUGGGUGGCUGAAAGAGGAGGAUGCCAAGUUUGAGGACAGUCUCAGCAACUUAACAAGAUAAUUGGCAAAACAUGAGACCCUGUCAUGAGAAGAGAGAGAGAGAGAGAGAGAGAGAAAGAGAGAAAGAAAGAAAGAAAGAAAGAAAGAAAGAAAGAAAGAAAGAAAGAAAGAAAGAUCGGGGUUAGGGGAUAGGGAUGCACCUCAGUGAUAGAGCACCCAUAGAUUCAACCAAACAAACCCUGGGUGAUCUUAGAACCAUUUGAAAAAUGAAGCUAGUACAUGCAGAAUGUAAAACCUUGAGUAGGAAUGCAAAAAGUUAAAGUGAAAACCCCAUGAGCAGUAUCUUUCUCCUGCUGUAUUAACAGACCUUUCAUUUUAGGCUCUCAGUUGCGGCCCCCAGCACCCUUAUCUGGUAGGACAAAUUCCCAAGAGCCUUAGCAGGUCCUCAGAGAGUGUGAUAUUUAAAUAGGCAUUCUAAUUAUUCUCCUUACUAG
Molecule: long non-coding RNA, 824 nt
Filed under: Marmota monax (woodchuck)
Lineage: Eukaryota; Metazoa; Chordata; Mammalia; Rodentia; Sciuridae
Source: RNAcentral